UACGUAGGGGGCUAGCGUUGUCCGGAAUCAUUGGGCGUAAAGGGCGCGUAGGCGGCCAGAUAAGUCCGGUGUGAAAGUCAAAGGCUCAACCUUUGAAUGCCGCUGGAAACUGUCUGGCUAGAGUCCGGGAGGGGCGAGUGGAAUUCCUGGUGUAGCGGUGAAAUGCGCAGAUAUCAGGAGGAACACCGGUGGCGAAGGCGGGUCUCUGGGCCGAUACUGACGCUGAGGAGCGAAAGCGUGGGGAGCGAACAGG
This 253-nucleotide ribosomal RNA is filed under the name uncultured bacterium. Its description in RNAcentral is "partial 16S ribosomal RNA". It matches the Rfam family "Bacterial small subunit ribosomal RNA", at positions 524 to 776 of the family's 1533-position model. The record is from RNAcentral.